This 74-nucleotide transfer RNA is filed under the name Leucogyrophana mollusca. RNAcentral describes it as "tRNA-Val". It matches the Rfam family "tRNA". Rfam says of the family: Transfer RNA (tRNA) molecules are approximately 80 nucleotides in length. Their secondary structure includes four short double-helical elements and three loops (D, anti-codon, and T loops). Lineage: Eukaryota; Fungi; Basidiomycota; Agaricomycetes; Boletales. The record is from RNAcentral.
GGCCUGAUGGCGUAGUUGGUUAUCGCAUCUGUCUAACACACAGAAGGUCUCCCGUUCGAGCCGGGGUCAGGUCA